GACGAACGCUGGCGGCGUGCCUAAUACAUGCAAGUCGAACGAGAGCGACCGGUGCUUGCACUGGUCAAUCUAGUGGCGAACGGGUGAGUAACACGUGGGUAACCUGCCCAUCAGAGGGGGAUAACAUUCGGAAACGGAUGCUAAAACCGCAUAGGUCCUUUAACCGCAUGGUUGAAGGAGGAAAAGAGGCGCAAGCUUCUGCUGAUGGAUGGACCCGCGGUGCAUUAGCUAGUUGGUGAGGUAACGGCUCACCAAGGCCGUGAUGCAUAGCCGACCUGAGAGGGUGAUCGGCCACAUUGGGACUGAGACACGGCCCAAACUCCUACGGGAGGCAGCAGUAGGGAAUCUUCCGCAAUGGCACGCAAGUCUGACGGAGCACACGCCGCGUGAGUGAAGAAGGUUUUCGGAUCGUAAAACUCUGUCGUUAGAGAAGACACAAGUGUCUAGAGUAACUGUUAGUCGCCUUGACGGCUAUCUCAACCAGAAA
This 487-nucleotide ribosomal RNA is filed under the name Granulicatella adiacens. RNAcentral describes it as "bacterial SSU rRNA". It matches the Rfam family "Bacterial small subunit ribosomal RNA", at positions 28 to 490 of the family's 1533-position model. Lineage: Bacteria; Bacillati; Bacillota; Bacilli; Lactobacillales; Carnobacteriaceae. The record is from RNAcentral.